AAGAAAGAAAGAAAGAAAGAAAGAAAAAAUGAAAGAAAAUUAGACAGAACAUCUUUCUGGUGUCUCUUUCUCGUGUCU
RNAcentral lists this non-coding RNA (78 nucleotides) under uncultured Geminigera. Lineage: Eukaryota; Cryptophyceae; Pyrenomonadales; Geminigeraceae. The record is from RNAcentral.